UGGCAUUAACCACAUGUUGAUGUUCGUCGUCUGAGAGUCCAACGUCUAUGUGUUGUCUAUCGCUGACUGCAAGCCACUGACUCAAAGAAUGACACACCAAUAGUAUAGACAUGCGCGAGUUCUAGGUCAAAAACAUAUUUUAACUAUUUUUAUUCUUAUAAAAAUGAUAGUAAAGAAAAACAUAGUUGAAUUUGUUGUACUUUUAUAUAAUAUAUUUCAAAAGUUAAUGCAAUUAACUAUUAUUGUUUAAGCACAUUUAACUUGAUUAAUGAGUCAAAGGAAGUUACAUUUUCUUUGCAACGUUCACAUAUUGGUUGCUAUUAAUAAGGCUUUGUUUUUGCAUACAAAGCCAUGACUUGCCUAUAUGAAAAAACUGAUUACGGGAAACAAACUGAGUGUGAAGCUCUUUUCUUAUUCUAGUCCACAACAAAAAUAACAAUCCUCUCAUACCAAAAUUAAGAAAAGCUACAUAUUUUAAUUUUUGUCCAGUCAACAACUCUGGGUUUCAUCUUCCUGAAAUUUUUUUCUUCUUGUUAGUUAUGUAUCCUUGGUUUUAAACCAAGGUUGAAGAGCCUGUUGAAUAUCGGGUUACUAUUUUGUAGGUUUCUUAUGAAUUGUUGAUAGAACUAUGUCGACGGUCAAGUCAAACAAUAAUAUAUAGCACUGAUAAGUUAUUUGAUAUCUCUCUUUUUAUUCUCUUCAAUAUUUAAUUAUUUCUCAUUUUAUGUGUUGAUUAUUAUUUGGAGAUAAUUUUAUAUCAAUAUUUUACAACAGAAGUAUGUAUGUUUUUCUUAUUCUACCAGUGUUUCUUUUUUUUUUUUUUUCUUUUCUUUUUUCAGAUAAAAUAGUUCGAAUCAAAUAGACACGUAUAGACUAGUUUGUAGAAAACAAGGGAAAAUAGCAAGUAGACAAGGUUUGAGAAUGGACAUGGUGGAGAGUCGGUCUAUAACCUUUUGUACUUCAUUUAUCAAAAAAAUAUUUAGAAGACAACUUCAUAUUUGCAAGAGUACGUCAGAAAAAGCCUGCAUGCAUGUGACAUAUUUUGACAGGGGUUACGUCAGGGUUUAUGCCAGGAGCGUAUUUGCCAGGAGCUAAGGCCCUGGCAUAGUCAUUUGCGAUGACCUGAAUUGUUGGGGAUUCUGCCCUUGACAAAACUCCUGCAAACGUCAGGGCUUCUGCCCUUGUCAAAUUACCAUAUUAAAUUUCUCGUAGUGAUCAUCCUAAUUAUCAAUAUGUAACCAUAGCUUGUCCGGUGAAAAAAAGUAUUAUAAUCAAACUUGUCGAUUAUAAUGAUGGCGAGAUUAUGCGAUACAAUUUUUUUUCAUUGAUAAUCUUUAGGUUAUACCGUUAUUUAUUUAUUUUUGACAAAGGUUAUGCCAUUUUUUAUAAUGUUUGUUGUUAGACUUUUUGUUUUUUUAACAUGACAUUUUGUUGUUGUUGUUUAUAUUCGAGAUUAGAGAGAGUAUUUCUCUAUUCCGCCACUCUCUUGUUUGUCUUUCUUGUGUACUUAACACAUAAAAAAAAUUGACAUCAUAUCAUAAUAUACAAUUUCUGGUGUCAACCUUUUGCGAUAACAUUUUUGUUUUUUAAAUAGGUUUGUGUUAGGUUAAUAACUUAUUUUUGUGUUAAUUUUGUGAACAUUGGAAAAGGUUAAAGCCAUUUUGAUUGACUUUGAUAUGUACAUGCAAUAUGAAGUAGAAACGUGGAAAGCAAGCCUGUGCAAGUAAUACAUGGUGGCUUGUUAUUCAAUUGUUCGCACAUGUUCAUAUGUUGUACAUGUUGAAAUUGUAUGCAUGGCAGUAAAUAAUUUUGACAAUUUGUCCAAUUGUUUACGGUGCCAUAAAUUGGAGUGGUUGAGGCAAUGGCUUUGCAAUCCUAUAAAUAGCUUGCCCGUGAAUCAUUUCCAAUCAUCCCAAAUCAGUAACAACACAAGAACAAGUAAAGCUUGUUUAGAUAGUGAGAGAAAAAAUAUAGAGAGAAAAAUUAGUUUCUCCUGUGAGAUUUCUCCUAGUUUGUGUUAGUUAGUAUUCUCCUAUUUAUAAGAGAGAGUGGUAAUUGUACUCUCCUUGUAGUUAGAGAGAGGUCCUGUAAUUUCUUCCACUUAGUGAAAGUUCUCUACUCUUGCCCCGUGGUUUUUUCCCCUUAUUUGUUGAGGGGUUUCCACGUAAAAUAUUGUGUGUUCAGUUCCUCUUUUCUCGUCUCUUAUUU
Molecule: long non-coding RNA, 2208 nt
Filed under: Medicago truncatula (barrel medic)
Lineage: Eukaryota; Viridiplantae; Streptophyta; Magnoliopsida; Fabales; Fabaceae
Description: long non-coding RNA (MTRU_LNC003546)
Source: RNAcentral